This 853-nucleotide unclassified non-coding RNA is filed under the name Hevea brasiliensis (rubber tree). The record is from RNAcentral. Lineage: Eukaryota; Viridiplantae; Streptophyta; Magnoliopsida; Malpighiales; Euphorbiaceae.
AUUGUAAGAGAUAUAGUUUAAGGGAUUAAUUCAUGGAAGAUGACUGCAAUUUUGUUCCGGUUUAAUGGUACUUGGUAUCAUUUAAUGGGGUUGCAAGUAGAGGAUGUUGAUUUUUGUGUUUCUGUUAUGAGGAAUGGUAUCUAAUAAGCCCAUUUUCCUUAUUGGUGUACUUAUGAAUUAUGACCUGCCUUUGAUGUGCUUGAUGCUUGUAUAUAUUAGUAAUUUGGUAUGGGGAAACAUCAUAACUUGAUUUUCUUGUUAUGUAGAUAAAUACAUAUAUGAGGUCUAAUUGAAGCCAGUAACUGAUUCAUUUUGUUGUAUCAUUGUUGCUGAUAAUUACUAUCAGAUUUUGAUUUACUGAUGCUGGACAGAUUCGGAUUUUAGCGCAUAUAUAAUGAGAAGGAAAAGGUUUCAGUUUGCUAUUAGAAGUUCAUUAGUCUCAGUUUAAUCUUAAACCUGCAUUAGUAAUGCAGAAGUCCGGAGGGAUCUGUUUUCUUAAUAAACAAUCAUUCAUAUGAUUUGAUUGGAUGGAUGGAUCAAGUUUUGAUACAUUCUCUAGUGUGAUUUUAACACAAUUUGAGUGCUUUUAGUACAAAUAGGAUUAUUUUUAAGUAUGUUAAAGGUGGACUUUUCCUACUUGCUGUAUUAUCCAUCUGUGAUUUAUAGAUUUGUUUAACAUUACAAAGGAAAUUCUGAAUUAUCAACUCCAUAAACCCAGUUAUAUCAUUAUGCAUUUAGUCAACUAUUGUUUCAUAGCAUUUUACGCUACAAAAGGUGGAGUCAUUGAUGUCAAAUUUGAGCCAAUAUAGAUAACCUAUCAAAAAAAACUUAUAAAAAUGCCAAAAAAAAAAAU